Molecule: unclassified non-coding RNA, 235 nt
Filed under: Hevea brasiliensis (rubber tree)
Lineage: Eukaryota; Viridiplantae; Streptophyta; Magnoliopsida; Malpighiales; Euphorbiaceae
Source: RNAcentral
AUUAUUAUUAUUAUUAUUUUGGUCAUACCAAGAGCUCUUUGGUAGCUUGCUACUUGCACUGCGAACGCAUACCCAAUGUAUAGAUUUUGUCAUGUACUUUCUCAUUGAUUUGAAAAUUGCUAUUGAUUGCUAUGUGCUGCUGCAUGCAUUACCCAAUGCUGGCAUAUGACAUCUCAUAUUGAAACCAGAUGCUAAAACUUACUAAACCAAGGCACAAUAAAGAAGCCAAUACCUG